Bos taurus (domestic cattle) is the source of this 3559-nucleotide long non-coding RNA. The record is from Ensembl. Lineage: Eukaryota; Metazoa; Chordata; Mammalia; Artiodactyla; Bovidae.
GUAAGUACACAAAGACUUGUUUGUUCACAUAUCUAUUUCAGAUCAUAUCAGAAAUAGAAAAGAAUACAAAUGAUAAGAAUGGAAUAAGGUUUCUUGGCAAUUUCUUCUUUGAAGAAAUUAGCAUUGAGACUUAUAAAAUCUGGAACAUCAGUGUCUCACAACAGUCAUACGGGGGUUCUCAACUUUAAGCCUCAGAAGUCUGUUUAAACAGAAUCUUAAAAGGAGUCUCAGAUCAAAGCAAGCUGAAAGGUAUGACCUACAGCAGUAACCACUUUCUGUGGUCCAUGGGGGCUUCUUGGGAACCCUAGGGAUCCCCUUGACCACCAUGUGAAAACCACUGGUCUAGAAUUGAAAACAGAAAACAUAAUUUUACAACUUCCUGGCUUGCUCUUCCAGGAGCUUCCUGGGAUGAAAAAGUGCCAGAGAAGGAAAUCUACUUGGGGAUAGGGCAUGGAGGGGGGACGACGUGCCAAGGAAAGGAUUGAAAGUGGGGGCAUUUGGGAAUUCCUAGCUGGUUCCCUGUUCCCCUUCCUGCAUACACGUGGUAGGAAAGUGAGGCAAGAUAAAUCAGAUGGGAGAAUAAAAGUAACGGCUAAUAGUUUGCACCUGCUCUGCUGAGCACUUACAGACGCUACUCAUUUAACCCUCACCCCAUCCUUAUGAGGUUGAGAAUAUUAUUAUAUUAUCUAAUUUUUACCAAUGAGAAGACUAAGGUCAAAGGAGCCCUGUUGACUUUCCCACUUGUGAAUCAUUCGUGUGUUAUGUGUGAAUAAAAGGGAAUUUGGGAGUCUUUCCACUAAAAACAAGAUAGACGGUAAGAGGAAUGCAGCUUCUACACCAAUACAGAUGGUGAUGGUGAGCAACAGAAUAGUGUUUGGUAAAACGUGUCAUCCAGUGGCAGAGCACUAGAUGACUUUCUACUUACUCACUAGCACUGAGGAUCAGAGAGAGUGUGAGCCGCUGGAAGGCAAGGGCUGAGCAGCAGGGAAGGAAUCGUGGCUUUGUCCCUUCAGAACUUGCCUCUUGGUCUUCAAGGUGAACCUCUCCAUGCCUGGGCUCAGUUGGAAUACCCGUUGUGAAAAUUGGAAGAGAGGUCGUGAGAGUCCAUUAUCAGUUAGAUAUGGCAGGAAAGAAAAGGCACCUUCAGAAGGAUGGCUGAGGGGAUUGCUAAUGGAUGGACUGGUUCAGAGGUGUGUGUGGGUGGAAGGACCUGACAAGACGUGUAAGGUCCCUAGCAACUAAUGACAGAAGUCCUUCUUGCACUCCUCCAAAGGAGGAAAUUAUGGGAGGGAACUCUGCGAGGAAGACUGGUGGAAGCUGAGUCCAGGAAGAGAGGCCUCCCAAUAGGAGCCGUGACCACAAAAUGCUGCCACUGCCAGGGACACAGAGCCAGGAGGAAAGCAGGGAGGCACCAGGGAAAUCUCACUUCCGUCUCUUUCUCCCCCGGUCCUCUGCUGUCUUGCCAUCACCUCCCAUUGGCCAAACUCAAUCAAAACCGGAAGUGAGGAUGUCCUGAUUAUAGUCCAUAAAAGUGGGCUUCUGAGACAAAAGGCUGGUUAGAGGAAGGUAGAGGAGGCAGAAUACUGUACCUAAACUUGGGCACUUCGAGGCCUUAGAAAUGAGAGUGGGAAACACAGAAAUCCCUGCCCGUCCUUCUGUGAGUCUCCUGGGUGGGCGCAGGGAACUGGGGGUCUAGCCACCCACUGGAGAGAGCCAGCAUGCAAGGGCUUAGGCAAUCCCUUCCCAGCUCCUUAUUCUUUCCUGCUCACACUUAGCCCAAUGGUCUUAUUCUUGAUCUGUCUGAGGAGACUGAGGUCCAGAAAGGUGAAGGCGCUUGCGCAAGGUCUCACAGCAAAGUAAUGGUAGAGUUCAUUUUCAUCAGGCUUUCCAACAUAGCUAUUGAAAUAUUAAGAUGAGGACCUCUGUGAAAAGGAUAAAUGGGGCAGAGCCCCAUAUUCAGGUAGAGCUUCCCUGGUCCCCAGGUCAUUUGGCAAUUCAAAGGGAAUAGGUACCUCCCCCACAACAACAUACUAUUCUAACCCCUCUGCUUUCUCCCUCUUUCCAUCCUCAUUCCACAAGGACAAGCAGAUUAUUUCAAGUGAAGAUAUAAGGCUGUAGUCUCCAGGGCUUUCUGUUAGAGCUCUCUGGCCAAUAUCAAGAGGCAAGCCUUUUAGGAACCUGCAAGUCAUCAAAUGAGGCCUGAAGUCAAAAGCAUCAGGGCCACAAGGCUGAGUCGCUGGGGUGGAGUUGUCCAGUCUUCCCCUCAGGAGACUUCUGGGGACCUUGCCAACCUUGUGAUACUGUGGGAUUGGUUUGGGAGAAUGUUAGGCUCCUAGAAUAGAUGUCUGUGCACUUACUGAGCGCUUCCUAUGGGUUGAGCACUGUUAAGUAGAGGGGCUUGGGGUGGGAGUAUGGGGGGCUGUCAGUAAUACCCCUGUGUCCCGUCUCAAGCAAGGAACAAGCACAGAGAGCAAAUGGAGACGCAAACGCCUCCACUUUCUCACAGAUGAAAUUGACUGGAGAAUGUGGCUUAGAUGCACUUUCACGAAGCGUUCCUAAUUAAACGUGACUCCAGCUCUUGACGGGCUGAGCCUGUCCGGUAAGCUGGCUGAAUGGAGGAAAAGACUUCGGUGGGCACCUGCUGGCACACAGGCUGCCAGGUGCCAGAGGAGGAGAUUCCGGAGAGACUGAGCCAUACGGUGGAGUUCCUUUCCCAAAACUUACCAGUUAGGUCACCAUCCUUCCUCUCAGUGAGGCAAGCAAGGACCAGAAAGAAGAUGGCCAUGUCCUCCUGCAGCUUGUUCUGUUUCAGGGACGAAGUGAACAGAAAUUCCACUUAUUAACCCUGAAUGUUUUACAUGUUUUAUCUCACUUAAUCCUCCGUACUAUCCUAUAAUAUUGUGAUCUCCAUGUUACAGACAUAGUCUCUGAGACAUAGAAAGCUAAAUAACUUGCCCAAGGUCACACAGCUCUACAAGGACAGAGUUGGAGUUCAACACCAGAUUUCUGCAUGGAUUAAUCAAUUUGUCUUGUAGAAGCAAAGGGACUCCUCUGAUGGUCCGGAGGUUAAGAAUCCGCCUUGCAAUGCAGGGGACACCGGUUUGAUCCCUGGUCAGGGAACCAAGAUUCCACAUGCCCUGGAGCAACAGAUACCCUGAAGGACUUCACAAGGCCCCACCUCUCCUUCCUUAUGGACCCACUUGCCCUGUGCUGCGGUCCACAGUUCAGCCACACCCCGUCCAGCCCUGGUUUUCACUCCCUGCCCAGCCCCUUGAGAGGAUGCUUCUGUUGGACAGAUGGACUUUCUAGGUGCCCAGACACCACUGUCGCAUCUCCCGGGGUGCCAUGCUCUGCAGUUUGGUGGUCGGCUGCCUCAUUUGCAGCUGGGGACUGUACCCUCUAGUCCAGAAGGGGAGUUUGAAUGUAGUGUCUGCUUCUGUACUUUCAUAAAAAUAUAAAAUGCCCUGUCCACCACUUGAUGAGCCUGAAAUUUCCUAGUUGACCUUCAUGGUCUCCUCUUCUUAACUUUGCCUUAUCAAAAAUAAAAGUUCGCUAACCU